Molecule: ribosomal RNA, 250 nt
Filed under: uncultured bacterium
Lineage: Bacteria
Description: partial 16S ribosomal RNA
Rfam family: Bacterial small subunit ribosomal RNA
Source: RNAcentral
UACGAAGGGUGCAAGCGUUACUCGGAAUUACUGGGCGUAAAGCGUGCGUAGGUGGUUUGUUAAGUCUGUCGUGAAAGCCCUGGGCUCAACCUGGGAACUGCGAUGGAAACUGGCUAACUAGAAUGUGGUAGAGGGUAGCGGAAUUCCUGGUGUAGCAGUGAAAUGCGUAGAUAUCAGGAGGAACAUCCAUGGCGAAGGCAGCUACCUGGGCCAACAUUGACACUGAGGCACGAAAGCGUGGGGAGCAAAC